UAGUCGUAGUUUGUUUCAGGUGUGUCCUGCACGGAGGAGAUGAUUGGUGUGGGAGGCUCCGGUCCUGGACUCUGAUUGGCCGCGGCUGACGGAAGACGCCUAUAAAACGAUCCAAGAUGGCGGCCGGGGCUGGCGGCAGGUUUACUCUCAUCUCCCUCUGCUCCCAACCAGCCACAACGUGGACUGCCAUUUUUGUUCCCAGCUUUUCUCCUGUUUAUUUAGUUAGGGAGCUCCGCGGUGCUGCACCAGUCGUCCUCCAGCAGAGGGAGCAGUUUGCUGCAGAGUAGUGAAAGACGAGGAGACGCAGGAGGGAGGAAGAUGAAAUGACAGCGGCGUGUCUCAGGGAGAAGGACACGGGAGUGGGAGGAGGAGGAGGAGGAGGAUAAAGGUCGGGAGGAAACGAGGGAGAGCUCCUUCACACCUCGUCACGCUGAGUAAAAAUGUCUCUCCAGGUGCGACUGAAGGUCAUGGACACACGCAAACAGGAAGGUCGAGGGAGAUUCUCCUUCUCUGUCAUUUAUCAGACGACUAGAUGUCAGCGAGAUUAUUAUUAUUAUUAUUAUUUAUUAUUAUUAUUUUUUAAUUUGUUCCCUUCCCACGGCCUGAGGUCUGUGGACAGAGCAGCGAAGUGAAGGCUCCACCUGGUGAUAUCAAACAUUAUGCAACACAUUUAACUGUGAUUGUUACAGGGAUAAAGCACAUUAGGGAAUACACGCUCUUGUGCUUCAUGAAGCAUACCGUAAAUCUAUUUUAGUAUCUCUUAGGCUGGUUGUUUCAUCAGAGAGUUUAUAGGAGCAGUUAGGACGGCGAGAAUAAAAAGCAAUAAAAAUUUUGUUAGUAGA
Molecule: long non-coding RNA, 842 nt
Organism: Mugil cephalus (flathead mullet)
Lineage: Eukaryota; Metazoa; Chordata; Actinopteri; Mugiliformes; Mugilidae
Exons: 2
Source: RefSeq, a predicted model, not a curated record